This 250-nucleotide ribosomal RNA is filed under the name uncultured bacterium. Its description in RNAcentral is "partial 16S ribosomal RNA". It matches the Rfam family "Bacterial small subunit ribosomal RNA", at positions 524 to 775 of the family's 1533-position model. The record is from RNAcentral.
UACGGGGGGAGCAAGCGUUGUUCGGAUUUACUGGGCGUAAAGGGCGCGUAGGCGGCGUGACAAGUCACUUGUGAAAUCUCCGGGCUUAACUCGGAACGGUCAGAUGAUACUGCUUUGCUCGAGUGCGGAAGGGGCAAUCGGAAUUCUUGGUGUAGCGGUGAAAUGCGUAGAUAUCAAGAGGAACACCUGAGGUGAAGACGGGUUGCUGGCCGACACUGACGCUGACAGCGCGAAAGCCAGGGAGCAACGG